GGGCCGUUAGCUCAGUGGCAGAGCGCUGCCUUCACACGGCAGAAGCCGCUGGUUCAAAUCCAGCACGGCCCACCA
RNAcentral lists this transfer RNA (75 nucleotides) under Nitrospinota bacterium. Its description in RNAcentral is "tRNA-Val". It matches the Rfam family "tRNA". From Rfam's summary of the family: Transfer RNA (tRNA) molecules are approximately 80 nucleotides in length. The record is from RNAcentral. Lineage: Bacteria; Pseudomonadati; Nitrospinota.